GCGCCGGUGGCUCAAUGGAUAGAGCUUCGGAUUCCGGUUCCGACGGUUGGGGGUUCGAGUCCCUUCCGGCGCGCCA
RNAcentral lists this transfer RNA (76 nucleotides) under Oscillospiraceae bacterium. Its description in RNAcentral is "tRNA-Arg". It matches the Rfam family "tRNA". From Rfam's summary of the family: Transfer RNA (tRNA) molecules are approximately 80 nucleotides in length. Their secondary structure includes four short double-helical elements and three loops (D, anti-codon, and T loops). Further hydrogen bonds mediate the characteristic L-shaped molecular structure. tRNAs have two regions of fundamental functional importance: the anti-codon, which is responsible for specific mRNA codon recognition, and the 3' end, to which the tRNAs corresponding amino acid is attached (by aminoacyl-tRNA synthetases). tRNAs cope with the degeneracy of the genetic code in two manners: having more than one tRNA (with a specific anti-codon) for a particular amino acid; and 'wobble' base-pairing, i.e. permitting non-standard base-pairing at the 3rd anti-codon position. The record is from RNAcentral. Lineage: Bacteria; Bacillati; Bacillota; Clostridia; Eubacteriales; Oscillospiraceae.